CUAAUAUUUUCUUAGCCACGUUUGUUCUUUAGUUUCUUUUUUACUAUUAUGGCUUAUUUUGUAUUGAAGACAUGGUACUGAUAAUUUAUCAGAGACUCAAGAACAAUGACUAUGUGUGUCCUAAGCCAGGUGGCUUAAAGAAUAGAAGUGUAUUGUCUCACAAUCUGAGAUCAGGCUGUCAACAGGGUUGGUUCCUUCUGAGUGCUGUGGGGGAGAAUCUGUUCCAUACUCUCUCCUAGCUUCUGUGGUUUUUGGCCAUCAUUGGCAACCUUGGCUUGUAGAUACAUCACCCCAGUCUCUGCCUUCAUCUUCAUGUGGUGUUCUUUCUGUGGGCUUGUCUGUCUGUAUUGUUUUCCCCUUUUUCAUAAACCACUAGUCCUAUUGUAUUAGGGCCCACCCUGAAGACCUUAUUUUACUUUGAGUAUCACUGGAAAGACCCUAUUUCCAAAUAAGGUCACAUUCUGAGGUACUAGGGAUUAGGAUUUCAAAAUGUCUUUUUGUGGGGCACAAUUCAACCCAUAGCAGUGACCUUGAGGAGGUCCAAGUAGCAGACAUAUUUGUCACACCUCCCAGUUUUCGUUAUCAACAUUGGCACAUUUAAAGUAUUGGUGUUUGGAGGGAGGCUUAUAGGAGGAAAGUUGGCUUUUAGAAGAUCACAUCAAGGUAAACAACUAGUUCUAUAUUCUUUUUUUGCUGUUGCUUAGGAAAAUUUUAAUUUUCCUUUUCUUCUGUAGAAAGUAAAAUAUCAAUUCUGGAUAUUUUGUUACAAGAUUAUCCUAGUUUUUAGAGAGCUCAAUAAUACUAACACCUCAUGUAUUUCAGGCUGCUUCAGGUCUAAUUCAACCAUAAAUUUAAAUGGUUGAAAUUCUGAUUAAUUGACAAGUUAAGUUGAGAGGUAAGGAACAACUAGGAUACCAUCUACUAUGGUGUGUAGGCAAGUGCUCCAGAUUGUGAUUUCUUUGAGUAUCUGGGGUCGUAGGGAAUAAUCACUGUGCCUGGGUAAGUCAGGAAGAGAUCAUAAAUGACAAAGAAGUCACCCUUGUAAGGAUUGAGUAUGUAUUAGCAGAGAUGGAUUCAUCUGAAAAUGGUACUAGAUGGUGGGUGCCUGCAUCAGUAUUAUUUCAGUAUAUUUUUACAUCAAGAUAGUUGAGUAAGAAAUGUCAUGUGAUUAAAUCCAAGAGGUAUUUAUUGACCUGUAAUUUGCCAGACACUGCUAAUCCCUUGUGCUACAAAAAUGAGUAAGAACGACUUAUUGGUGCACACAGUCUGUGAAAGAAACAGAACUGCAAACCUGUCAUUCUAAAAUAAUAGGUACUAAGGGACUGAAUCAGUAGAAGUUCUUCUUGUGUACACCAGAGAAAAGUGACAAUUGAGUUGAUGCUUGAAAAGUGACAAUUGAGUUGAUGCUUGAAAAGUGACAUAAUGGAAAAGUGACAAUUUUGAAGAAUCACUAAAUUGGGGAGUAAAUGGAAAGAGAAGGAUUAAUAAUAGCUUUAGUGAAAAAAGAGGAUAAAGUGAAGUUGAUUUGUUUAUGAUUUUAGAUAGGGAUAGGAGCCAAUAGAGAAACAAAGAUUGGAAAUCCAGAGAAGAGAGUAAUUGGUAAUGCAGUGUUCAACAGGAGUCAGGAGGGAGUGGAAUUAGGAGUACUGGUUUGAAGAAGAGAGGAAUUAUCUUCUGAGACUGGAGAGAAGAGAGUAAAUAUUUCAUUCUCAAAAACUCCUUGGGAUAAUUGGGUUUUUUCUUGUGCCCACUUUUUAAGAGUAACACUUGAAGUAAAUCUUUUUGUUUAGUAAGGCACUAAGGGAAAAGUCAAAUUAUGAACCUUCAGAGGAAAUAGAACGAUGACCUAAUCUUGCAUAUUCUUAGGGGUAGAGAAGAUGAAGUCCAUGUCACAGCUUGCAGUUUUGUCAAGACGGUGGAAGCCUUCAGAGAUGAAGUUGGAUCCCUUCCAGGAGGUUGUAUUGGAAAGCAGUAGUGUGGACGAAUUGCGAGAGAAGCUUAGUGAAAUCAGUGGGAUUCCUUUGGAUGAUAUUGAAUUUGCUAAGGGUAGAGGAACAUUUCCCUGUGAUAUUUCUGUCCUUGAUAUUCAUCAAGAUUUAGACUGGAAUCCUAAAGUUUCUACCCUGAAUGUCUGGCCUCUUUAUAUCUGUGAUGAUGGUGCGGUCAUAUUUUAUAGGGAUAAAACAGAAGAAUUAAUGGAAUUGACAGAUGAGCAAAGAAAUGAACUGAUGAAAAAAGAAAGCAGUCGACUCCAGAAGACUGGACAUCGUGUAACAUACUCACCUCGUAAAGAGAAAGCACUAAAAAUAUAUCUGGAUGGAGCACCAAAUAAAGAUCUCACUCAAGACUGACUCUGAUAGUGUAGCAUUUUCCCUGGGGGAGUUUGGUUUUAAUUAGAUGGUUCACUACCACUGGGUAGUGCCAUUUUGGCCGGACAUGGUUGGGGUAACCCAGUGACACCAGCACUGAUUGGACUGCCCUACACCAAUCAGAAGCUCAGUGCCCAAUGGGCCACUGUUUUGACUCGGAAUCAUGUUGUGCACUAUAGUCAAAUGUACUGUAAAGUGAAAAGGGAUGUGCAAAAAAAUAAAAAAAAAAAACAAAAAAAGCUAACCUUCUAUUAGAAAAGGGGACAGGGGAAUGAGUAAACUUCUUUUAUUGCAGACAAAUGUGCACAUAGCCGCUAGUAAAACUAGCCUCAAACAGGAUGCUCAUAGCUUAAUAAUAAAAGCUGUGCAAAGGCCAUGAAUGAAUGAAUUUUCUGUUUAUUUCACUGAUACACACAUUACCUCAUUGACAAUUCAGAAGUAAAUCCAACGUGUGUUGACUCUUGGAAAGCAGCAAAAACAGGAGCUGAAGAAAAGAAAUUCUUAGAACCAGCCAUAACCCAGUAAGGAAUUGUGAAGUUGUGUUUUUAUUUUGUUUCAUUUUUUGCAGAGUAUUAAGAACAUUAUUCUGGAACAUCAGAACGUUUCCCUUAGACCGAUCCCAGCAGGUGGCAGCUCAGAUUGCUGCAGUGUUGUAAUUAUAACUGAUUGUACUUAAGUUAUGGAUGUAGAGAAUAUGUUUCAUUCAUUUAUUCAGCAUGUAAAUAAAAUUGAUCCUGUUGAGUUAUCAUAA
This 3120-nucleotide small RNA is filed under the name Pan troglodytes (chimpanzee). RNAcentral's name for it is "retained intron". Lineage: Eukaryota; Metazoa; Chordata; Mammalia; Primates; Hominidae. The record is from RNAcentral.